AUGCGAAUAAAUCGAUGGAUCUGGUGGGCCACGGUCAUUCUUUUGUAUCUCAGGACGGGAUUAGCGGCCGAUUUCUUCAGAUCGAGUGAGGAAAAUGAUAGAAAAUCAUCAGACGAUUUGGAUAAUUUUAAUUCAACUAAAAUCGAACCAGAUAAGCCAAAAACUGCAAAAGAACUCGGUGUAAAAUCAUGCGAAUCGAAUCAAGACUGUGUACAUGAUGGAGUAUGUCACCGUGGAAACGAUGGUCAUGGAAUAUGUAUGUGCCCGAGAAGUUGUCCAGCAAUUACUCCAAAACAAUGCGGAUACAAUUACCGAACACCAUCCACAUGUCUACUCAUGGAUGCUGAUUAUCGAUCGAAAUAUGAUGUGAAGGAGCCGACGUGUUAUUCAAGGAAAUGCGUCUGCCCACCACAAUUCGAUGAUGUUCAUGUUACGGCAAAUCAGAAGCCUCUGCGGUUGAAUUCUACUCUACUUCCAACGAAAUGUGACAAAAGAGAUCUCGCUGUUGUAGCCCGUGCUCACCCAUCGACGUCAGUUUCGAAGGGAAUUGAUGUCACCUUAUUCUGCUGCAUAAAUGUUGAUCCGGAAGGCUUUAUUGAUGUUGCCAGCGUAUUUUUCAUUCAAAAUGGAACAAUUAUGAGAGAAGCAACAUCACACCCAUUUGCACCUAGAAAUGGACUUGCUCGACGGGUACAUGAAAAAUAUUCGUGUUGGGAGCUGGAAAUUAAAAAUGCUCAAACUUCGGAUUCUGGGUCUUAUAUGUGUCGGGUCACUGCGAGUGCUUCAGAUCUUGACGUUACGGAUACAAUGCAGUUUGAGGUUAAAGCUCCUCGCCAAAUCAAGAAUCUAACUGUAAAUCCAUCUGAACGAGAUGCCAUCGUUACAUGGGAAUCCGAAGGUGGAGAAGACAUGGCAAUUGAUUUGAGACUUGUUCGACGUACGGAUACCCGAGGACAAGUGGUUUUCAGUAAGGACAACUUAACGUCUCCAGUUUCUAUAAAAGAUCUUCGCGCCGCGACUCCGUACACACUUUUUGUGUCGGGGAAUAAUGGACAAGUACCAUUUGAGUUCACUGAACACUUUACUACAAAACAGAAACGUCCAUUCCCACCGAAAGAGGAGGAUGUGCGGGUGCUAAAUUCUGGUUCAGCAUUGAGUUGUGAAGUUGAAUGGAAAAGUCCCGCGGAGCCAAAUGGUCGAAUUACAAAAUAUUUUGUAUCUGUUCGUGGAGCAAUGCGAAAAUCCGACGGAUCCCUAACUCCAGAUGAUCUUCCAGCAGCUGUAGAAGUUGAUAAACGUUGUGCGAAUUGGGAUGGUGAUGAGAAUACAUCAAAGCAUAAUGGAAUCAAUCCAAUUGAUUUUGCAAAUGAAUUUUAUUCUUGCAAAUUUGGUCCAUUAAAACCAAAUCGAAAUUAUACCGUCACUGUUUGGGCUGAAAAUUCAGCUGGGAGAUCUCUACCAGCAGUUUUCCACAAGAACUGUGUUACGAAUUACGCACAGCCAGAUAUGGUAGAAACACCACAACCUUUGCUGUCUAAUAAUCAUUCGACAUUCUCGUUGACUUUUCCCCAACCGCCAGAUGAUAUUAAUGGGCCAAUAAGCUGCUACUAUAUUGCAAUAGUUCCACUUCCUGCAAAUGUUUCUCUGGAUAUCUUGCCAAAAUCUGAGGAAAUAGUUAUGCACUCAUUUUCAAAAGUCUUCACGAACAAUCUACUCCCAUCGUCGGCUGAAGAGAAACGAUUUUUCGCUUACAUUGCCGAGUCGUAUGUUCAAUUACCAGAAGAAACAACGAUAGGAGAUGGUGUUAGAGUGUCUGAUUUAAAAGCCUGUAAUGUACAGUACCUCAGUCGAUAUUCGUCUGAAGAUCUCGCAUUACGGCGUGGGCUCAAGUACACCGGAUUUCUAAUUGUACGUGUCGAUAAGGAAGAAGAAUUGAACAGAAAAGAUGUUCGAAAUGGAGCUGAUCCGAAUAUAUUUAGGAAUUUAAUUGACAAAAGCGUAUCUCCAACAUCACGAACCCGUACUGCAUCUCCCAUGAGCCGCCACCUGCGUCAACUUCAUUUGAGUGGGCCAGCGUAUGGAUAUUCUGCAUACUUCAAGCCAAUACUACUUGACACGGAAAGUUCAAGCAGUGGAUUCGGAAUUUUCAUGAAAAUUAUUCUGCCGUUCCUUCUGUUCUUAGCAUUUGCAACUGGAGUUACAAUGUUCUUUGUAAACCGAAAAGGACAUAUGCUGUCAACUUGGUGUCCAUUAUUCACAAAAAUGACGUCAAAAGAUGUUGUGGAACGAACUCUUCUGAAACAGACAUUUGGUGCAAUUCCAGUUGAUGAUCUUCCAACUGAAUACGUUGUUCGACAUCGAGACACGGAUUUUCUGUUUGCACAAGAAUACGAAUCUCUGCCACAUUUUCAAUUGGAUACUGUAGCCAGUAAUAGAAAAGAAAAUGCAAUCAAAAACCGAUAUAACGACAUUCGUGCAUUCGAUGAUACUCGAGUUAAGCUGAAGAAAAUCAACGGAGACGAUUACUCGGAUUAUAUAAACGCUAAUUUCAUUAAAAGCUGGAAAGAAAAGAAGUUAUUCAUUGCUGCUCAGGCUCCAGUUGACGCCACUAUCGGAGAUUUCUGGAGAAUGGUGUGGGAACAAGAGUCAUAUUUAAUUGUGAUGGUUGCCAAUUUAACCGAGAAAAACCGGCAGCAAUGUGCAAAGUAUUGGCCUGAUGAACAGAUUACAAGAUAUGGAGAUAUAAUCGUGGAGCCUGCCAGUUUUUCGUUCCAUUCUGAUUAUGCGAUUCGUGCAUUCGAUAUCGCACAUAUAGGAGAAUUGAUGUGAUCCCGAAUGGAAACGGCGUCGAAUACGCGAAUGUGCCAAUUGUAAAAGGACAAUUUGCUAAUAAUUCCCGUCGUAUUCUCCAGUAUCACUUUACCAAUUGGAAUGACUACAAAGCUCCGGAAUGUUCCACUGGAUUGCUUCGAUUCAUGUAUCGUCUUCGAGAAUUACCACAGUUUAAUAACUCGCCUGUUGUGAUACAUUGCAGUGCUGGAGUUGGAAGAACUGGAACAUUUAUUUCAAUAGAUUCGAUGCUUGAUCAAUGUCUCGCGGAGGAUAAAGCAAACAUUUUCGAAUUCGUGUGCAAUCUUCGUCGCCAACGGAACUUGAUGGUUCAAUCUCUUGAACAAUAUGUGUUCAUCUACAAAGCACUUGCGGAAUGGCACAUGUAUGGUGAUACUGAUGAAGAUGUUCGAGAUUUUGAAGAUCACUAUCAACGAUUAUGUGCAUCGAAUAGAGAUAGAGCAGUUAGCUUUAAUCAACAGUCAUCUACGAAUGGAUCAAUAUCUCCGAGAGUAGCAAUUGUCUCAUCUCGAGAAUCAAUGACAACUUCCAAUGGAGAAACUGGAUUGGAAGAAGAAUUCAAAAAGUUGGAGCGAAAUUUGACUACUCCUUUAUCUUCAAACUUUGCUGCAAAAGACGAGAACCUUCUUAAAAAUCGAUAUGAAGCUGCAGUACCUUUUGAUAAAUAUCGAGUUAUUCUUCCUCCAACUAUUGGACAUGCUGACUCUUCAUAUAUCAAUGCAUCACACAUAAAAGGAUACUUUUUUGAUUAUAUAGCCGCUCAGGAUCCUGUUUCAGAAGGAACAGCUUUUGAUUUCUGGAGAAUGAUUGCUGAUCAAAAUGUGACUACGGUAGUUAUGUUGAGUGAUGAGACAGAUUGGAGUGAUGUUGAAAAGUACUGGCCAAUCGAUGGUUCUGGAACAGAAUGUCACUUUGGAUCGGAACGUAAUUCAGUGAAUGUUACCUGUGUCUCUGAAGAGCACCAUCAAGAUUUUAUCAUUCGAAAUUUAUCAUAUUCUAUGAAAGAUAACGAAUCGAUGCCAGCGAACCAAGAAGUUGUACAGUAUUCGUAUACUGGAUGGCCUUCGGAUUCAAUUGUUCCAAAAUCUGCGAACAGUUUGAUGAAUCUGAUUGAGAUGGUCCUGCAACGUCAGAGCAGUCUCAUGGGAUCUCAGGCUCCGAUUGUGGUACAUUGCAGAAACGGAUCGUCAGAGAGCGGAAUCUUCAUAUGCAUUUCCUUGUUAUGGCUCCGACAAAAAGCUGAACAACGGAUAGACGUCUUCCAAACAGUAAAAGGACUUCAAUCACACCGACCGAUGAUGUUUACCCGUUUUGAGCAGUAUUCUUUCUGUUACAGAGCCCUAGCUGACUAUAUCUCUAAGACAUAUAGGUAG
This 4223-nucleotide unclassified non-coding RNA is filed under the name Caenorhabditis elegans. RNAcentral describes it as "Non-coding transcript of protein-coding gene clr-1". Lineage: Eukaryota; Metazoa; Nematoda; Chromadorea; Rhabditida; Rhabditidae. The record is from RNAcentral.